GACUACCGGGGUAUCUAAUCCUGUUUGCUCCCCACGCUUUCGUGCCUGAACGUCGGUACUUGUCCAGGAAGUCGCUUUCGCCACUGAUGUUCCUUCCGAUAUCUACGCAUUUCACCGCUACACCGGAAAUUCCACUUCCCUCUACAGUACCCUAGCUAUCCAGUCUCGAAUGCAAUUCCCAGGUUGAGCCCGGGGCUUUCACACCCGACUUAAAUAACCGUCUACGCACGCUUUACGCCCAGUAAUUCCGAUUAACGCUCGCACCCUCUGUAUUACCGCGGCUGCUGGCACAGAGUUAGCCGGUGCUUUUUCUGUGGGUUAGGUCAAGACCCAAGGUUAUUAACCCUAGGCUUUUCAUCCCCACUAAAAGUGCUUUACAACCCGCAGGCCUUCUUCACACACGCGGCGUCGCUGGAUCAGGCUUUCGCCCAUUGUCCAAUAUUCCCCACUGCAGCCCCCCGUAGG
This 465-nucleotide ribosomal RNA is filed under the name uncultured Gammaproteobacteria bacterium. RNAcentral's name for it is "partial 16S ribosomal RNA". The record is from RNAcentral. Lineage: Bacteria; Pseudomonadati; Pseudomonadota; Gammaproteobacteria.